RNAcentral lists this ribosomal RNA (1687 nucleotides) under Hilsa kelee (kelee shad). Its description in RNAcentral is "16S rRNA". It matches the Rfam family "Bacterial large subunit ribosomal RNA". Lineage: Eukaryota; Metazoa; Chordata; Actinopteri; Clupeiformes; Clupeidae. The record is from RNAcentral.
ACCAAACAGCUAGCUCAACCCGCAAACGACCAGAUUAACAACAUAAACCAAUCUAUCAUAAAUCGACCCCCUUCAACCAAACCAUUUGACCACCCCAGUACGGGCGACGAAAAAGGGCUAAUGAAGCCAUAGACAAAGUACCGCAAGGGAAAGCUGAAAGAGAGCUGAAAUAGAGCCCUAAAGUACAUAAAAGCAGAGACCAAACCUCGUACCUUUUGCAUCAUGAUCUAGCCAGUAACUCCAAGCGAAGAGACCUCUAGUUUGAACCCCCGAAACCAGACGAGCUACUCCGGGGCAGCCUAUUGCAGGGCCAACCCGUCUCUGUGGCAAAAGAGUGGGAAGACCCCCGAGUAGAGGUGAAAGACCUACCGAGUCCGGUUAUAGCUGGUUGCCCAGGAAAUGAAUAGAAGUUCAGCCCCGUAAGCCCUCACCCACAACAGUACUACUUAACCCAGGCGAGAGGAUAGUCACGGGAGUUAGUCAAAGGAGGUACAGCUCCCUUAACAAAGGAUACAACCUUCGCAGGAGGCUAAGGAAUACACUAAGUCAAGGCCAUGGGUUUCAGUGGGCCUAAAAGCAGCCACCUAAAUCGAAAGCGUUAAAGCUCAAGCCAAGUCAAGCCUAUUAUAAUAUUAAACACCCCCAAUGCCCCUAACCAAUACUGGGCCCCCCUAUGCUCCCAUAGAAGAGACCAUGCUAGAACGAGUAAUAAGAAGAAUGAACUUCUCCCUGCACAUGUGUAAGUCGAAUCGGACUCACCAUCGACAAUUAACGAACCCAACAAAAGAGGGACACGCACCAUUGCCACACCCGGCCAGGAAAACCACGCGAACCCCCAUCGUUACCCCCACACAGGAGUGCUACUGACAAAGGGAAAGACUUAAAGAAUGAAAAGGAACUCGGCAAACAUAAACCCCGCCUGUUUACCAAAAACAUCGCCUCCUGCUCAUAUCAGUAUAGGAGGUCCCGCCUGCCCUGUGACCAAAGGUUUAACGGCCGCGGUAUUUUAACCGUGCGAAGGUAGCGCAAUCAAUUGUCUUUUAAAUGGAGACCUGUAUGAAUGGCAUAACGAGGGUUUAACUGUCUCUUUUUUCCGGUCAAUGAAACUGAUCUACCCGUGCAGAAGCGGGCAUGAACACACAAGACGAGAAGACCCUAUGGAGCUUUAGACGCCCACCAACCACGAGAAGCGGCCGUCACACGGACCUCAAACGACAUGGUUAUGGCACAAACGUCUUCGGUUGGGGCGACCACGGAGGAGAACACAGCCUCCGAGAGGACUGGGAAAACCCUGAAACCAAGAGCCACAGCUCUAAGUCACAAAACAUUUGACCUAUUAGUGAUCCGGCCUACUGCCGAUCAACGGACCAAGUUACCCUAGGGAUAACAGCGCAAUCCUCUCCCAGAGUUCAUAUCGACGAGUGGGUUUACGACCUCGAUGUUGGAUCAGGACAUCCUAAUGGUGCAGCCGCUAUUAAGGGUUCGUUUGUUCAACGAUUAAAGUCCUACGUGAUCUGAGUUCAGACCGGAGUAAUCCAGGUCAGUUUCUAUCUGUGAUACCACCCUUCCUAGUACGAAAGGACCGGAAUGGUGAGGCCUCUGCCCCGGGCACGCCUCCCCCCCACCUGCUGAAAACAACUGAAACAGGUAAGGGGGGCCAACCUCUUGAGCCCGAGACCGAGGGCAU